Long non-coding RNA from Mustela erminea (ermine), 177 nucleotides. RefSeq lists it as uncharacterized. NCBI's taxonomy places the organism in Eukaryota, Metazoa, Chordata, Mammalia, Carnivora, Mustelidae. The transcript is spliced from 3 exons. The record is from RefSeq and is a predicted model, not a curated record.
AACCAAAACUGAGAAGAUUAGUUAGCCUGGCCACUGGCAAGGACAGUGCAAUUCUACCUUGGGCAAAAACAUUUGAGAAUCACUGCAACAGGCCCCUCCCUGAGAAGAUAAGCAAGAACAUCCAGGCAAGACCAAAUUCACCAAUAGACAAGAAAAGCGAAACUCCAGAGCUAGAGG